RNAcentral lists this small RNA (107 nucleotides) under Marmota monax (woodchuck). Lineage: Eukaryota; Metazoa; Chordata; Mammalia; Rodentia; Sciuridae. The record is from RNAcentral.
GCCGGGCACGGUGGCCCACACCUGUCAUCCCAGCAGCUCGGGAGGCCGAGGCAGGAGGAUCGCAAGUUGGAGGCCAGCCUCGGCAACUCAGCGAGACUUUGUCUCUA